UUAUUAUGAGAAACAUUUGCCCUGUACAAGAAAAACAAUAUUUAUGUUCAGUUCAAUUUAUACAAUAAUUGCCAUUCAUGUAUAUAUUACAUGUCAUAAUAUUAAAAUAUGUGAGUAUGUAAUGAUAAUUUACCUUUUAACACUUAAAGUACAUGUAGAUCUACUAUAAUCAUAAAAUAUCUUUGAAUUAAGGUUCUUACAGUAAACUUGAUUUAGGGUUGAAUACAAAUUGAAAAUUGUUUUUCAAUUCCCCCUCCCCCCCCCCCCGACUUAUGAAAACUGCUUUGCUUUAAUGGUAGUAUAUAUGUAUUUCCACUGGGGUUAAAUGUUUAGUUUGCCUUCCUCUGACUCUAUCUAUGAAAAAUUGUAAUGUCAGUGCUUGUAUACACCUCUGUAACAGUUCACUUGAAAAUAAUCAUAAACCCCUAACAAACAAAUCCUGCACCCUUGAUACUUGUAAUGUGAAACUGGGGCUAUCUUUACUGGCUUGCUGGAAUGUGUAUAAUCUCUUCUGAUUGGUUGGGAGCCAAAUUUGAACGUGUAAACAUAGAUCCAUGCAGGACCUGAAAUGUUGUUUCAAAGCAAUGUUGGGACUUUUGAAGUUUUAACAAUUUCCUGAAAUACUUUGAUGGACAUUCUUAAACAAUUAAUUAGAAUGUGGAAAUCAACAUUUUGUGUGUUAACAAGUCUCUAAAAGAGGAAUUCAGUGAGUUAUGAAGCGGCCCUUUUGGAAAUGCUUUGAACUGUUAAACAGCGAUUUUCAAAAAAGAUUGUGAAGCAACUUACCCAUGACAACGACCUCAGAAGUGCAGUCACAGAGUAAUGGUGCUGUUAUCACUUAAAAGCAACCAUCAAAAAAGAUUGUGUAGCAACUUUCCCCUGACAACACCCACUGGC
This is a long non-coding RNA of Dreissena polymorpha, 897 nucleotides long. RefSeq lists it as uncharacterized. The record is from RefSeq and is a predicted model, not a curated record. Lineage: Eukaryota; Metazoa; Mollusca; Bivalvia; Myida; Dreissenidae. The transcript is spliced from 3 exons.